This 429-nucleotide ribosomal RNA is filed under the name Chloroflexota bacterium. Its description in RNAcentral is "Chloroflexi bacterium partial 16S ribosomal RNA". It matches the Rfam family "Bacterial small subunit ribosomal RNA", at positions 355 to 776 of the family's 1533-position model. Lineage: Bacteria; Bacillati; Chloroflexota. The record is from RNAcentral.
UGGGGAAUAUUGCACAAUGGGCGCAAGCCUGAUGCAGCCAUGCCGCGUGUAUGAAGAAGGCCUUCGGGUUGUAAAGUACUUUCAGUCGGGAGGAAGGUGGUAAGGUUAAUAACCUUAUCAAUUGACGUUACCGACAGAAGAAGCACCGGCUAACUCCGUGCCAGCAGCCGCGGUAAUACGGAGGGUGCAAGCGUUAAUCGGAAUUACUGGGCGUAAAGCGCACGCAGGCGGUUGAUUGAGUCAGAUGUGAAAUCCCCGGGCUUAACCCGGGAAUUGCAUCUGAUACUGGUCAGCUAGAGUCUUGUAGAGGGGGGUAGAAUUCCAUGUGUAGCGGUGAAAUGCGUAGAGAUGUGGAGGAAUACCGGUGGCGAAGGCGGCCCCCUGGACAAAGACUGACGCUCAGUUGCGAAAGCGUGGGGAGCAAACAGG